This 450-nucleotide ribosomal RNA is filed under the name Cemophora coccinea (scarlet snake). RNAcentral describes it as "partial 16S ribosomal RNA". It matches the Rfam family "Bacterial large subunit ribosomal RNA", at positions 1849 to 2608 of the family's 2925-position model. Lineage: Eukaryota; Metazoa; Chordata; Lepidosauria; Squamata; Colubridae. The record is from RNAcentral.
UAAGGCACGCCUGCCCAGUGAAUAAUUAAACGGCCGCGGUACCCUAACCGUGCAAAGGUAGCGUAAUCAUUUGUCUACUAAUUAUAGACCUGUAUGAAAGGCAAAAUGAGGAUUUAACUGUCUCUUAUAAUAAAUCAAUUAAACUGAUCCCCUAGUAAAAAAGCUAGGAUAAUAACAUAAGACCAGAAGACCCUGUGAAGCUUAAAUCAAACUAUUAAACCAUAUAAUAACUACUUUCGGUUGGGGCGACCUUGGAAAAAAAAAGAACUUCCAAGACCCAGCACAGCUGAUAAUUGAACCAAGUUACUCCAGGGAUAACAGCGCAAUCUUCUUCAAGAGCCCAUAUCAAAAAGAAGGUUUACGACCUCGAUGUUGGAUCAGGACAUCCUAAUGGUGCAGCCGCUAUUAAGGGUUCGUUUGUUCAACGAUUAACAGUCCUACGUGAUCUGA